RNAcentral lists this ribosomal RNA (468 nucleotides) under uncultured bacterium. RNAcentral describes it as "partial 16S ribosomal RNA". It matches the Rfam family "Bacterial small subunit ribosomal RNA", at positions 28 to 507 of the family's 1533-position model. The record is from RNAcentral.
GACGAACGCUGGCGGCGUGCUUAACACAUGCAAGUCGAACGGAAAGGCCCUGCUUUUGUGGGGUGCUCGAGUGGCGAACGGGUGAGUAACAGGAAUGUAACCGGCCCUUGUCUUUGGGUGAACUUCAGGAACCGGGGCUUAAUCCCGGAACGGACCCCCUCUUCCAGGGGGGGGGUGGGAAAUUUGCGGCGGUUGGGGAUGGAUUGGCGGCUGACCGGUUUGUUGGUGGGGUAGGGGCUUCCCAAGGCUUGGCCGGGUAGCCGGCUUGAGAGGGUGACCGGCCACAUUGGGACUGAGGUACGGACCAGACUCCUACGGGAGGCAGCAGUGGGGAAUCUUGCACAAUGGGCGGAAGCGUGAUGCAGCAACGCCGCGUGCGGGAUGACGGCCUUCGGGUUGUAAACCGCUUUCGCCUGUGACGAAGCGUGAGUGACGGUAAUGGGUAAAGAAGCACCGGCUAACUACGUG